RNAcentral lists this ribosomal RNA (790 nucleotides) under uncultured bacterium. RNAcentral's name for it is "bacterial SSU rRNA". It matches the Rfam family "Bacterial small subunit ribosomal RNA", at positions 8 to 796 of the family's 1533-position model. The record is from RNAcentral.
AGAGUUUGAUCMUGGCUCAGGAUGAACGCUAGCGGCAGGCUUAACACAUGCAAGUCGAGGGGUAGAUUAUCUUCGGAUAAUUGAGACCGGCGCACGGGUGCGUAACGCGUAUACAAUCUACCUUUUACAGAGGGAUAGCCCAGAGAAAUUUGGAUUAAUACCUCAUAGUAUUUUYGAAUGGCAUCAUUUGAUUAUUAAAGUUCCAACGGUAAAAGAUGAGUAUGCGUCCCAUUAGCUAGAUGGUAAGGUAACGGCUUACCAUGGCUACGAUGGGUAGGGGUCCUGAGAGGGAGAUCCCCCACACUGGUACUGAGACACGGACCAGACUCCUACGGGAGGCAGCAGUGAGGAAUAUUGGACAAUGGGCGCAAGCCUGAUCCAGCCAUGCCGCGUGCAGGAAGAAGGUCCUAUGGAUUGUAAACUGCUUUUAUACAGGAAGAAACACCUCUACGUGUAGAGACUUGACGGUACUGUAUGAAUAAGGACCGGCUAACUCCGUGCCRGCAGCCGCGGUAAUACGGAGGGUCCAAGCGUUAUCCGGAAUCAUUGGGUUUAAAGGGUCCGUAGGCGGUUUAAUAAGUCAGUGGUGAAAGCCCAUCGCUCAACGAUGGAACGGCCAUUGAUACUGUUAAACUUGAAUUAUUAGGAAGUAACYAGAAUAUGUAGUGUAGCGGUGAAAUGCUUAGAGAUUACAUGGAAUACCAAUUGCGAAGGCAGGUUACUACUAAUAUAUUGACGCUGAUGGACGAAAGCGUGGGGAGCGAACAGGAUUAGAUACCCCUGGUAGUCC